AAGCCCUGGAAACGGGGUCUAAUACCGGAUAACACCGGCUUCCGCAUGGGAGCUGGUUAAAAGCUCCGGCGGUGAAGGAUGAGCCCGCGGCCUAUCAGCUUGUUGGUGGGGUAAUGGCCUACCAAGGCGACGACGGGUAGCCGGCCUGAGAGGGCGACCGGCCACACUGGGACUGAGACACGGCCCAGACUCCUACGGGAGGCAGCAGUGGGGAAUAUUGCACAAUGGGCGAAAGCCUGAUGCAGCGACGCCGCGUGAGGGAUGACGGCCUUCGGGUUGUAAACCUCUUUCAGCAGGGAAGAAGCGAAAGUGACGGUACCUGCAGAAGAAGCGCCGGCUAACUACGUGCCAGCAGCCGCGGUAAUACGUAGGGCGCAAGCGUUGUCCGGAAUUAUUGGGC
RNAcentral lists this ribosomal RNA (400 nucleotides) under Streptomyces sp. RNAcentral's name for it is "bacterial SSU rRNA". It matches the Rfam family "Bacterial small subunit ribosomal RNA", at positions 145 to 559 of the family's 1533-position model. The record is from RNAcentral. Lineage: Bacteria; Bacillati; Actinomycetota; Actinomycetes; Kitasatosporales; Streptomycetaceae.